Long non-coding RNA from Schistocerca cancellata (South American locust), 440 nucleotides. RefSeq lists it as uncharacterized. NCBI's taxonomy places the organism in Eukaryota, Metazoa, Arthropoda, Insecta, Orthoptera, Acrididae. The record is from RefSeq and is a predicted model, not a curated record. The transcript is spliced from 3 exons.
UGACUUCUGAACCAAUCGCACGAAGCGUGUUCCCGCUUCCAGGAAACGCAGCAGACACGGAGAGUUAUAAACGUAUAAAAACUGCGCCAUUCCACACGGUAGCGAUUCAGUUGCUGCCGAAGUCGUUCCAAUUUUCAGCUGAACACCAUCUGUCUUCCAGAUAGGAUGGAUCUCAUAAGGAAACUGAUCUUGCUGUUGCUGGUAUUGUCCAUUGCGAGCGCUUAUGAAGAGGAAGAAGAAGAGAAGUGUGGAGACGCGUGCGCCGACAACCCCUGCCACCCUGGGGAGGAGUGCUUCCCGGCCACGAUCUGGUGCUUCACAACGCCCUGCUGCCCCGUCGCCUCCUGCAGGAACAUCACAGAGCCGAACCCGAAGCCGGCGGCAGACUGAGUUAUUGCAAAACAACUGUGUACCGAAUUCAUGAAAAGCGGAACGAUGAA